Molecule: long non-coding RNA, 274 nt
Organism: Etheostoma spectabile (orangethroat darter)
Lineage: Eukaryota; Metazoa; Chordata; Actinopteri; Perciformes; Percidae
Exons: 3
Source: RefSeq, a predicted model, not a curated record
CAUCAACAAGCUUCAGAGCAACCGGAUGCCAGGACUCUCAGAGUGACUGCAAGUCUCUCUUGUAAACUUACUGGAUUAGGAUGAGUUCUUCUAAGGUGAAUGAAAGGCUCGAUCCGACGAAGUAGGUCAUCAAAUCAAAUCAAAGCACUGAUGUCAAUGCUGCUGCCAGUUCUGCCGUUAAUCUUUUUCUUCUUCUUCUAGUCCGUAGAACGAGCAAAGUUGGUAGCCUUUGCUCAUUAGCAACACCUCUGUAAGGAGAAGACUGCAACUAGUG